This 225-nucleotide long non-coding RNA is filed under the name Elaeis guineensis (African oil palm). RNAcentral describes it as "long non-coding RNA (EGUI_LNC067221)". The record is from RNAcentral. Lineage: Eukaryota; Viridiplantae; Streptophyta; Magnoliopsida; Arecales; Arecaceae.
CCCCACUUGAUCUUCGCCUGAUGCCUCCCCGCAAGGAAUCCACACGGCGAUCCACGACCUCUAUGGCCAGAUCUCAGGCUCCGGCCUCACCUCCAGUCUCCCAGCCUCUACCUCCUCCUCUGGCAACGGUGGUUGGCACGGAGCAAUUCGACCUACUGGCACAGCAAGUCAAAGGCCUCACUGAAGCUGUGCAGGCCAUGCAACAGCAGCAGCAGCCACAGGCAU